UACGUAGGGUGCAAGCGUUGUCCGGAAUUACUGGGCGUAAAGUGUGCGCAGGCGGCUUCGCAAGUCGAGUGUGAAAUCCCCGAGCUUAACUUGGGAAUUGCGCUCGAAACUACGGAGCUGGAGUGUGGCAGAGGAAGGUGGAAUUCCACGUGUAGCGGUGAAAUGCGUAGAGAUGUGGAGGAACACCGAUGGCGAAGGCAGCCCUUCUGGGCCAACACUGACGCUCAUGCACGAAAGCGUGGGGAGCAAACAGG
Molecule: ribosomal RNA, 254 nt
Filed under: uncultured bacterium
Lineage: Bacteria
Description: partial 16S ribosomal RNA
Rfam family: Bacterial small subunit ribosomal RNA
Source: RNAcentral